UGGUGUUGCUAGACCACAACCAACAACAGCUAGAGGACCAGACUUUUCCAGGGUUGAUUCAGCUGAUCUAACUGUCUAGGCGGGUGUCUCCUUCCUUCCUCACCGCCCCAUGUGUUUCCCUCCUGAUGCUGCGCACUUGGUGGAAGAGGACGAUGUCCCAGGUAUAGAAGGAGUGUACUGAGGUCUCCAGUCUUCGGUACUGGGUAUAUGAUAACUGCGCUUCCCUGCUAGGACAUCCAAACAAGCUGAACUUGUGAAGAAAAUUUCAUCAUGCAAUUAACACUUAUAAGGAUGAUGGAUUUAAAAAAUAUUUUAAUCUGUGGAU
Molecule: non-coding RNA, 325 nt
Organism: Anolis carolinensis (green anole)
Lineage: Eukaryota; Metazoa; Chordata; Lepidosauria; Squamata; Anolidae
Rfam family: 7SK RNA
About the family: 7SK was discovered as an abundant small nuclear RNA in the mid-70s but a possible function has only recently been suggested. Two independent studies have found that 7SK RNA binds the CDK9/cyclin T complex (known as elongation factor P-TEFb).
Source: Rfam